AGAGUUUGAUCCUGGCUCAGAUUGAACGCUGGCGGCAUGCCUUACACAUGCAAGUCGAACGGCAGCACGGGUGCUUGCACUUGGUGGCGAAUGGCGAACGGGUGAGUAAUACAUCGGAACAUGUCCUGUAGUGGGGGAUAGCCCGGCGAAAGCCGGAUUAAUACCGCAUACGAUCCACGGAUGAAAGCGGGGGACCUUCGGGCCUCGCGCUAUAGGGCCGGCCGAUGGCUGAUUAACUAGUUGGUGGGGUAAGGCCUACCAAGGCGACGAUCAGUANCUGGUCUGAGAGAC
Molecule: ribosomal RNA, 291 nt
Filed under: Burkholderia cepacia
Lineage: Bacteria; Pseudomonadati; Pseudomonadota; Betaproteobacteria; Burkholderiales; Burkholderiaceae
Description: partial 16S ribosomal RNA
Rfam family: Bacterial small subunit ribosomal RNA
Source: RNAcentral